Molecule: ribosomal RNA, 437 nt
Filed under: uncultured soil bacterium
Lineage: Bacteria
Description: bacterial SSU rRNA
Rfam family: Bacterial small subunit ribosomal RNA
Source: RNAcentral
AGAACGAACGCUGGCGGCAGGCUUAACACAUGCAAGUCGAACGCACCGCAAGGUGAGUGGCAGACGGGUGAGUAACGCGUGGGAACGUACCUUUCGGUUCGGAAUAACCCAGGGAAACUUGGGCUAAUACCGGAUACGCCGGAAACGGGAAAGAUUUAUCGCCGAAAGAUCGGCCCGCGUCGGAUUAGCUAGUUGGUGAGGUAAUGGCUCGCCAAGGCGACGAUCCGUAGCUGGUCUGAGAGGAUGAUCAGCCACACUGGGACUGAGACACGGCCCAGACUCCUACGGGAGGCAGCAGUGGGGAAUAUUGGACAAUGGGCGAAAGCCUGAUCCAGCCAUGCCGCGUGAGUGAAGAAGGCCUUAGGGUUGUAAAGCUCUUUCAGCGGGACGAUAAUGACGGUACCGCAGAAGAGCCCGCUAACUCGCGCAGCAGCCGC